CAGGUCACUCCUACGGGAGGCAGCAGUGGGGAAUUUUGCGCAAUGGGGGAAACCCUGACGCAGCAAUGCCGCGUGAGUGAUGAAGGCCUUAGGGUUGUAAAGCUCUUUCGGCGGGGACGAUGAUGACGGUACCCGCAGAAGAAGCCCCGGCUAACUUCGUGCCAGCAGCCGCGGUAAUACGAAGGGGGCUAGCGUUGCUCGGAAUCACUGGGUGUAAAGCGCACGUAGGUGGGUCGUUAAGUCGGGGGUGAAAUCCUGGAGCUCAACUCCAGAACUGCCUUCGAUACUGGCGAUCUUCGAGUCCGGGAGAGGUGAGUGGAACUGCGAGUGUAGAGGUGAAAUUCGUAGAUAUUCGCAAGAACACCAGUGGCGAAGGCGACUCACUGGCCCGUUACUGACGCUGAGGCGCGAAAGCCAGGGGAGCAAACGGGAUUAGAUACCCCGGUAGUCCUGGCCCUAAACGAUGAAUGCUUGGUGUGGCGGGUAUCGAUCCCUGCCGUGCCGAAGCUAACGCAUUAAGCAUUCCGCCUGGGGAGUACGGUCGCAAGGCUGAAACUUAAAGGAAUUGACG
Molecule: ribosomal RNA, 571 nt
Filed under: uncultured Alphaproteobacteria bacterium
Lineage: Bacteria; Pseudomonadati; Pseudomonadota; Alphaproteobacteria
Description: bacterial SSU rRNA
Rfam family: Bacterial small subunit ribosomal RNA
Source: RNAcentral